Molecule: ribosomal RNA, 250 nt
Filed under: uncultured bacterium
Lineage: Bacteria
Description: partial 16S ribosomal RNA
Rfam family: Bacterial small subunit ribosomal RNA
Source: RNAcentral
UACGUAGGGUGCGAGCGUUAAUCGGAAUUACUGGGCGUAAAGCGUGCGCAGGCGGUGAUGUAAGACAGAUGUGAAAUCCCCGGGCUCAACCUAGGGAACUGCAUUUAGUGACUGCAUCGCUGGAGUGCGGCAGAGGGGGAUGGAAUUCCGCGUGUAGCAGUGAAAUGCGUAGAUAUGCGGAGGAACACCGAUGGCGAAGGCAAUCCCCUGGGCCUGCACUGACGCGUCAUGCACGAAAGCGUCGGGGGAG